Molecule: non-coding RNA, 272 nt
Organism: Pelobates cultripes (western spadefoot toad)
Lineage: Eukaryota; Metazoa; Chordata; Amphibia; Anura; Pelobatidae
Source: the annotation of a GenBank genome assembly
GGGAUGCCCUCCAGGGCCUGGCCGAGCAGUUGCAGGCCACAUCCCAGAUGACCUUCCAGAACAGAAUAUCCUUAGACAUGAUUCUAGCUGAAAAGGGGGGUGUAUGUAAAAUACUACCUGACACCAUGACUUAUAUCCCAGAAAACACAAGUCCGAAUGGUAAAGUCACUUUGGCCAUAGAGAAGUUAGAGAAACUCUCAGAGGAGUUGAAGAGGCAUUCUGGGGUAACAGAUCCCUGGGAAAGGUGGUUUGGUUGGAUGUCAGGUUGGCAG